This 484-nucleotide ribosomal RNA is filed under the name uncultured bacterium. RNAcentral's name for it is "partial 16S ribosomal RNA". It matches the Rfam family "Bacterial small subunit ribosomal RNA", at positions 30 to 507 of the family's 1533-position model. The record is from RNAcentral.
AUUGAACGCUGGCGGCAGGCCUAACACAUGCAAGUCGAGCGGAUGAAGUGAGCUUGCUCCUGGAUUCAGCGGCGGACGGGUGUGUAAUGCCUAGGAAUCUGCCUGGUUGUGGUGGAUAACGUCCGGAAACGGGCGCUAAUACCGCAUACGUCCUGAGGGAGAUAGUGGGUGUUCUUCGGACCUUACGCUAUCAGAUGUACUUAGUUCGGAUUAGCUGGUCGGUGGGUUAAAGGCCUACCAAGGCGACGAUCCGUAACUGGUCGGGGAGGAGGAUCAGUGACACGGGAACUGAGAAAGGGUCCAGACUCUAACGGGAGGAGGAGGAGGGGAAUAUUGGACAAUGAGCGAAGGCCUGACCCAGCCAUGCGGCGUGGUGGAGAAAGGUCUUCGGAUGGAAAGGUACUUUGAGUUGGGAGGAAGGGCAGUAAGUUAAUACGUUGCUGUUUUGACGUUACCAACAGAAUAAGCACCGGCUAACUUCGUG